Molecule: ribosomal RNA, 500 nt
Filed under: uncultured Salinimicrobium sp.
Lineage: Bacteria; Pseudomonadati; Bacteroidota; Flavobacteriia; Flavobacteriales; Flavobacteriaceae
Description: partial 16S ribosomal RNA
Source: RNAcentral
CACGGAGUUAGCCGAUCCUUAUUCCCAGGGUACCGUCAAAACUCCACACGUGGAGUCGUUUCUUCCCCUGUAAAAGCAGUUUACAACCCAUAGGGCCGUCUUCCUGCACGCGGCAUGGCUGGAUCAGGCUCUCGCCCAUUGUCCAAUAUUCCUCACUGCUGCCUCCCGUAGGAGUCUGGUCCGUGUCUCAGUACCAGUGUGGGGGAUCUCCCUCUCAGGACCCCUACCUAUCAAAGUCUUGGUAAGCCGUUACCUUACCAACUAACUAAUAGGACGCAUACUCAUCUUUUACCGCCGAAGCUUUAAUCUAAAAGUGAGGCCACUUCUAAAUACUAUGGGAUAUUAAUCCGGGUUUCCCCGGGCUAUGCCCCUGUAAAAGGUAGAUUGUAUACGCGUUACGCACCCGUGCGCCGGUCGCCACCAUCCGAAGACGUGCUGCCCCUCGACUUGCAUGUGUUAAGCCUGCCGCUAGCGUUCAUCCUGAGCCAGGAUCAAACUCU